Molecule: non-coding RNA, 91 nt
Filed under: Variovorax sp. OV084
Lineage: Bacteria; Pseudomonadati; Pseudomonadota; Betaproteobacteria; Burkholderiales; Comamonadaceae
Source: RNAcentral
AGUUUUGGCGGCUCGGAUGGGAGGGCUCGCGCCCUGCCGGUUUCUCGCAAGAGGUUGCCCGGUCUGUCAACCCGUCCGAGCUGCCGCCCUC